Molecule: microRNA precursor, 55 nt
Filed under: Anolis carolinensis (green anole)
Lineage: Eukaryota; Metazoa; Chordata; Lepidosauria; Squamata; Anolidae
Description: Aca-Mir-9573_pre stem-loop
Source: RNAcentral
AUGGACAAUUUUGGUUUUGAUGUUUAAUGAGUAUCAAAACUAGGAUUGUCUAUGC